AUAUCUAAAUAUAGUACCACAAAAUUGUUGGGAGCAUUCUUUACCAGUACUGCAAAUUUUACUACCCUAUAGAGGAGAUAGACCACCGUAACAUAGCAUAUUGACCAGCAUUAUUUACAAGGGCACUUGCUUGUACAUGUACCAGUCAAGUAACACAAUAAUCAGAGUAGUAGUUUACAGUCAAACUACUUUUUCUAUUAUUAUCUUACCAGUACUGCAAAUUUUACUACCCUAUAGAGGAGAUAGACCACCGUAACAUAGCAUAUUGACCAGCAUUAUUUGCAAGGGCACUUGCUUGUACAUGUACCAGUCAAGUAACACAAUAAUCAGAGUAGUAGUUUACAGCCAAACUACUUUUUCUAUUAUUACCUUGGAGGAUUGUUCAACACAUUUGGCAGCAAAAACAACAAAAGUUAUGCAUUGAAUUCAAAAUGGUAGAGUGACUGAAGUGAUGAGAUUAAAGAAUGCAAAUGAGCAAAAGGAACCAUCAACACCACUAGAACAACAUCUUGUGAAACAGAAAGAAUGAAGUUUUAC
This is a long non-coding RNA of Ciona intestinalis (vase tunicate), 537 nucleotides long. RefSeq lists it as uncharacterized. NCBI's taxonomy places the organism in Eukaryota, Metazoa, Chordata, Ascidiacea, Phlebobranchia, Cionidae. The record is from RefSeq and is a predicted model, not a curated record.